This 2918-nucleotide ribosomal RNA is filed under the name Clostridioides difficile. Its description in RNAcentral is "bacterial LSU rRNA". It matches the Rfam family "Bacterial large subunit ribosomal RNA". The record is from RNAcentral. Lineage: Bacteria; Bacillati; Bacillota; Clostridia; Peptostreptococcales; Peptostreptococcaceae.
UGGUCAAGUUAUUAAGGGUGCAGGGCGGAUGCCUUGGCACUAGGAGCCGAUGAAGGACGUGAUAAGCUGCGAUAAGCUUCGGGGAGUUGCACGUAAACUUUGAUCCGAAGAUUUCCGAAUGAGGAAACUCACUUAGAGUAAUGUCUAAGUAUCAUUAAGUGAAUACAUAGCUUAAUGAGGGGAACUCAGGGAACUGAAACAUCUAAGUACCUGAAGGAAGAGAAAGAAAUUCGAUUCCGUAAGUAGCGGCGAGCGAACGCGGAUUAGCCCAAACCAAUAAAGUUUUCUUUAUUGGGGUUGCGGACAUAUCAUAACGAAGAGGUAUCGUAAUUGAAGAGGUUUGGAAAGACCCACCACAGAAGGUAAUAGUCCUGUAUGUUAAACGAGAAGACUUCAGAUAUGAUCCAGAGUACCACGGGACACGUGAAACCCUGUGGGAAGCAGGAGGGACCACCCUCCAAGGCUAAAUACUACCUAGUGACCGAUAGCGUAUAGUACCGUGAGGGAAAGGUGAAAAGAACCCCGGGAGGGGAGUGAAAUAGAACCUGAAACCCUGCACUUACAAGCUGUGGAAGCACAUUUCUUGUGUGACCGCGUACUUUUUGUAGAACGGGCCAACGAGUUACGUUAAGUAGCAAGGUUAAGCACUUAAGGUGUGGAGCCGUAGCGAAAGCGAGUUUUAACUGAGCGUUCAGUUACUUGACGUAGACCCGAAACCGGGCGACCUACCCAUGAGCAGGAUGAAGCGAAAGUAAAAUUUCGUGGAGGUCCGAACCCACGAGCGUUGAAAAGCUCGGGGAUGACUUGUGGGUAGCGGUGAAAUUCCAAUCGAGCCCGGAGAUAGCUGGUUCUCCCCGAAAUAGCUUUAGGGCUAGCCUCAAGGUGAGAGAUACGGAGGUAGAGCACUGAAUGUCCUAGGGGGUAUUGCACCUACCGAAGACUAUCAAACUCCGAAUGCCGUCAUCUUAUACUUGGGAGUCAGACUGUGGGUGAUAAGAUUCAUAGUCGAAAGGGCAACAGCCCAGAUCGUCAGCUAAGGUCCCUAAAUGUAAGUUAAGUGGUAAAGGAUGUGGGAUUGCACAGACAACCAGGAUGUUGGCUUAGAAGCAGCCACUCAUUCAAAGAGUGCGUAAUAGCUCACUGGUCGAGUGAUCCUGCGCCGAAGAUUUCCGGGGCUAAAACUUACUACCGAAGCUACGGCAUCAGUAAUGAUGGGUAGGGGAGCUUCCCAUACGGGUUGAAGCAUGACCGUAAGGACAUGUGGACAGUAUGGGAGUGAGAAUGUUGGCAUGAGUAGCGAGAUGUGGGUGAGAAUCCCACAGGCCGUAAACCCAAGGUUUCCAGGGGAAGGUUCGUCCGCCCUGGGUUAGUCGGGACCUAAGCUGAGGCCGAAAGGCGUAGGUGAUGGACAACAGGUUGAUAUUCCUGUACUACCGAUAACCGUUUGAGAGAAGGGAUGACACAGUAGGAUAAGCUAAGCACACUGUUGGUUAUGUGUGCCCAAGCAUUGAGGCAGUCAAAGUAGGCAAAUCCGCUUUGAUAAUGCUGGGAUGUGAUGGGGAGCGAAAUUUAGUAGCGAAGUAGCUGAUUUCACACUGUCAAGAAAAGUCUCUAUCGAGGUUAAAGGUACCCGUACCGCAAACCGACACAGGUGGGUGAGGAGAGUAUCCUAAGGCCAGCGAGAGAACUGUUGUUAAGGAACUCGGCAAAAUGACCCCGUAACUUAGGGAUAAGGGGUGCCACCAUCAGGUGGCCGCAGAGAAUAGGCCCAAGCGACUGUUUACCAAAAACAUAGGUUUCUGCUAAGUCGCAAGACGAUGUAUAGGAGCUGACGCCUGCCCGGUGCUGGAAGGUUAAGGGGAUCUGUUAGAGCAAUCGAAGCAGUGAACUUAAGCCCCAGUAAACGGCGGCCGUAACUAUAACGGUCCUAAGGUAGCGAAAUUCCUUGUCGGGUAAGUUCCGACCCGCACGAAAGGCGUAACGAUUUGGGCACUGUCUCAACAACAGACUCGGUGAAAUUGUAAUUCCGGUGAAGAUGCCGGAUACCUGCGACAGGACGGAAAGACCCCAUGGAGCUUUACUGUAGCUUGACAUUGGGUCUUGGUACUACAUGUACAGGAUAGGUGGGAGGCUUUGAAACCAGGACGCCAGUUUUGGCGGAGCCAUCCUUGGGAUACCACCCUUGUAGUACUGGGACUCUAACCAUAGGCCAUGAAUCUGGUCUUGGGACACUGUCAGGUGGGCAGUUUGACUGGGGCGGUCGCCUCCCAAAAGGUAACGGAGGCGCUCAAAGGUUCUCUCAGUACGGUCGGAAAUCGUACGUAGAGUGUAAAGGCAAAAGAGAGCUUGAUUGCAAGACAUACAGGUCGAGCAAGGAUGAAAAUCGGACUUAGUGAUCCGGUGGUUCUGCGUGGAAGGGCCAUCGCUCAACGGAUAAAAGCUACCCUGGGGAUAACAGGCUUAUCUCCCCCAAGAGUCCACAUCGACGGGGAGGUUUGGCACCUCGAUGUCGGCUCAUCACAUCCUGGGGCUGUAGUAGGUCCCAAGGGUUGGGCUGUUCGCCCAUUAAAGUGGUACGCGAGCUGGGUUCAGAACGUCGUGAGACAGUUCGGUCCCUAUCCGUCGCAGGCGUAGGAAAUUUGAGAAGACCUGUCCUUAGUACGAGAGGACCGGGAUGGACGUACCUCUGGUGUACCAGUUGUUCUGCCAAGGGCAUGGCUGGGUAGCUAUGUACGGAAUGGAUAAGCGCUGAAAGCAUCUAAGCGCGAAGCCAACUUCAAGAUAAGAUUUCCCACCGCAAGGGUAAGACCCCAGAAAGACUAUCUGGUUGAUAGGUCGAAGGUGUAAGUGCAGCAAUGUAUUUAGCUUAUCGAUACUAAUAGGUCGAGGACUUGACCAAUAUUAUUUGAUGUUCACUU